This 28-nucleotide non-coding RNA is filed under the name Rattus norvegicus (Norway rat). Lineage: Eukaryota; Metazoa; Chordata; Mammalia; Rodentia; Muridae. The record is from RNAcentral.
UCCUUGCAGGAUGGGGUGAUGAGACGUC